UGUAUAAUGGGUCAGCGACUUAUAUUCUGUAGCAAGGUUAACCGAAUAGGGGAGCCGAAGGGAAACCGAGUCUUAACUGGGCGUUAAGUUGCAGGGUAUAGACCCGAAACCCGGUGAUCUAGCCAUGGGCAGGUUGAAGGUUGGGUAACACUAACUGGAGGACCGAACCGACUAAUGUUGAAAAAUUAGCGGAUGACUUGUGGCUGGGGGUGAAAGGCCAAUCAAACCGGGAGAUAGCUGGUUCUCCCCGAAAGCUAUUUAGGUAGCGCCUCGUGAAUUCAUCUCCGGGGGUAGAGCACUGUUUCGGCAAGGGGGUCAUCCCGACUUACCAACCCGAUGCAAACUGCGAAUACCGGAGAAUGUUAUCACGGGAGACACACGGCGGGUGCUAACGUCCGUCGUGAAGAGGGAAACAACCCAGACCGCCAGCUAAGGUCCCAAAGUCAUGGUUAAGUGGGAAACGAUGUGGGAAGGCCCAGACAGCCAGGAUGUUGGCUUAGAAGCAGCCAUCAUUUAAAGAAAGCGUAAUAGCUCACUGGUCGAGUCGGCCUGCGCGGAAGAUGUAACGGGGCUAAACCAUGCACCGAAGCUGCGGCAGCGACACUGUGUGUUGUUGGGUAGGGGAGCGUUCUGUAAGCCUGUGAAGGUGUGCUGUGAGGCAUGCUGGAGGUAUCAGAAGUGCGAAUGCUGACAUAAGUAACGAUAAAGCGGGUGAAAAGCCCGCUCGCCGGAAGACCAAGGGUUCCUGUCCAACGUUAAUCGGGGCAGGGUGAGUCGACCCCUAAGGCGAGGCCGAAAGGCGUAGUCGAUGGGAAACAGGUUAAUAUUCCUGUACUUGGUGUUACUGCGAAGGGGGGACGGAGAAGGCUAUGUUGGCCGGGCGACGGUUGUCCCGGUUUAAGCGUGUAGGCUGGUUUUCCAGGCAAAUCCGGAAAAUCAAGGCUGAGGCGUGAUGACGAGGCACUACGGUGCUGAAGCAACAAAUGCCCUGCUUCCAGGAAAAGCCUCUAAGCAUCAGGUAACAUUAAAUCGUACCCCAAACCGACACAGGUGGUCAGGUAGAGAAUACCAAGGCGCUUGAGAGAACUCGGGUGAAGGAACUAGGCAAAAUGGUGCCGUAACUUCGGGAGAAGGCACGCUGAUAUGUAGGUGAAGUCCCUCGCGGAUGGAGCUGAAAUCAGUCGAAGAUACCAG
RNAcentral lists this ribosomal RNA (1194 nucleotides) under Escherichia coli. RNAcentral describes it as "partial 23S ribosomal RNA". It matches the Rfam family "Bacterial large subunit ribosomal RNA", at positions 609 to 1789 of the family's 2925-position model. Lineage: Bacteria; Pseudomonadati; Pseudomonadota; Gammaproteobacteria; Enterobacterales; Enterobacteriaceae. The record is from RNAcentral.